GCAUUGUAAAAGUCAUGAAAACUAGAUUUAUAUAGUAUGUCAAAAAUGGCAAUAGUGGGCGCCUGGCUAGCUCAGUUCGUACAGCGGGCGCCCAUGUAUGGCUAAGGCUGAGUCUUAGCCGCGGUCGACCCGGGUUCGAAUCCGGACCUGUGGACCUUUGCCGCAUCUCUCUCUCUCUGUUUCCCCUCAUUCCAUGACUCUUAGUCACCAAAAAAAAAAAAAGGUCUAUAGCAUGUUAGGUAUGUUAGGAAUGUUAGCUUAGUAUAGUGCGUGAUGAAAAAAGUCGUGUUAAAAAAAAAAAAAAAAAAGUCAAUAGUAUAGCAUGUUAGGUAUGUUAGGAAUGUUAGCCAAGAUAGUGCGUGAUGAAAAGAUUUCGUGAUAAGUCAGGAUGUUAGGUAUGUUAGGAAUGUUAGCUUAGUAUAGUGCGUGAUGAAAAAAGUCGUGUUAAAAAAAAAAAAAAAAAAA
Sebastes umbrosus (honeycomb rockfish) is the source of this 465-nucleotide long non-coding RNA. RefSeq lists it as uncharacterized. Lineage: Eukaryota; Metazoa; Chordata; Actinopteri; Perciformes; Sebastidae. The transcript has 2 exons. The record is from RefSeq and is a predicted model, not a curated record.